UAUGUGGCUCCAGCCCAUGCAUCUAACUACCUCCUUCCUCUUGUCAGUGUUUCCGUAAUUUUUGUGUUGUGUGUCCCGGUUCUUCACUGUUUGCUUUUCUUUAACCACUAUAAUCUCCAGGGUAAAUUUAGUUCUGUUCUAAAGCCAUUUCCAGAGGCUAACUUCCCUGACCUGCCUCCCCGCCCCACAGGCCAGGUCAGAACUCUUUUGUCUGCUGUCUGGGCAUGCUGUUUAAUUUUUCUUCAUUCUUCACAGUUUGUUAUCGGAAAUUUGUGUGAGUGUUCGAUUGAUGCCUGCCUGGUAAACCCAAGAGACGCAAGGAUCCCAUCUGUUGUUCUCCGUGUAUCUGAGCACAGAGCACAGAGCCUGGCGCAUACUCGGGCCUCAACCAAUACGUGUGGGAUGAUUGAGAAACUUCCGGGAGAAUUCCUACUCCACCGGGUUACCAGAGAGAAAGCCUCGUUCCAAGGCCUUUCCAUCUGUGUGAGAGCAGCGCCAACUGAAAGAAGAGGACUACUCAGUGGCACAGCUGAUGACGAACAUUGCUGGGGGUUGAUCAGUAUGAACGUGGACGAUCAGUCAUGGUGAAAUCUGCACAGUGGCCUGGAGGAGACGAUGGAACAUCUACCCACCCACCAACAGUGUCAGCAUCAUUCCCUAAUAUCAUGCUCCAGCAACAAGGGACUUUUCACCUUGGUUUUGUGCUGGCAGCGGGAUCUCAGCAUUUGCUUGGCCAAGCUGUCUCUCCCAAGUACCUACUCAUAUAAAUAGAUACCUUGAUUUAAUUUGGGCUUUAUUCCUUUUCUUUUUCCUUGCCUGGAACAGUGGUACGAUUAAUCUAUCCCUGGUUUGGAGUACAUUAUAUAUUUUUUUAUUGGCUUAUUAAGAGACAUUAUGCUGUGUGUUACGGGCUUGUGAACCAUCCUAAAUCCCACAGCAAAUCUGUAUUAAAUAAACUAUUA
Molecule: long non-coding RNA, 962 nt
Organism: Equus caballus (horse)
Lineage: Eukaryota; Metazoa; Chordata; Mammalia; Perissodactyla; Equidae
Source: RefSeq, a predicted model, not a curated record